GUGUGCGCUUCCGCUAAUUUCUUUCUGGUCCCAAGUUUUUUCCGUGUUCACGCGGACGCGGGGUACAGAGCCUGAGCCGCCUCCUCAGAUUUGACCUGGUCCCAGUGAGAGAAACAUAAGCAGCAACGACGUGUACGCGAUCGAUACCAGUGCAAACAUAUACGGCUCGAAGUAGCGAUACGCGUGACGCUGGAAAAGGACUCGCCCGUACUACGGUGCCACGCAGAUGGAUGGUUGGUCUCAGAGCGCUCCGCCGUUGCUGUACCGCUGCUCUGCUUCCUCGCGGACGCCGGGCAGAAGAAGCAGGAGCGCGCUGGGAGGCCGAAUCCCUCAAGGGUGGCGGCGCUGGUGGAGCGCGUGAAGCUGCAGGUGAUGUACAGGGGCAUCGCCGACCGGGUACCUUCUUCCCCAUCACGGGCUGUGGAUUUGGUAUAGUUUCGGUUUGUGCAUCCCCAUCAUGGGCCGUGGACGGAGGAUUUUGUGCUCUUGAUUUUGAUUUUGGCUUGCGGUUUCUCUUCGAAUUGAGAGGUGCUUGUACUUUGAUUGAUCCAUGAGGUACUUUGAUUAAUGAGAUGAUUGAUGAGGUACUUAGAAAGGUACUGUGAUUGAUGAGUACUGUGAUUUUGAGCACCAUCAUCUACCAUGGGUACAUGACGUGGUACUAGUUUUUAAUAAAUGUUUAUGUUGUAAUUUUGUCUUGGUAUAAUUUGAUCUGUCCAGGUACCUAAAAACUGUUAAGGUACAUGUCAUGUACCACAUGAUGCAUUUGUAUCAUAAUCUCAUGUACAUGAGGUACUUAAAAACUGAUAAGGUACAAUACACAUACCUUAAUGUACUAAAUUUGUACUUAUAAACAUGUCAUGUACCAUAAUGUACUUAAAAGUGAAAGAGA
Molecule: long non-coding RNA, 892 nt
Organism: Brachypodium distachyon (stiff brome)
Lineage: Eukaryota; Viridiplantae; Streptophyta; Magnoliopsida; Poales; Poaceae
Exons: 2
Source: RefSeq, a predicted model, not a curated record